RNAcentral lists this transfer RNA (70 nucleotides) under Camelus bactrianus (Bactrian camel). It matches the Rfam family "tRNA". Rfam says of the family: Transfer RNA (tRNA) molecules are approximately 80 nucleotides in length. Their secondary structure includes four short double-helical elements and three loops (D, anti-codon, and T loops). RNAcentral also lists the same sequence under 2 other names. Lineage: Eukaryota; Metazoa; Chordata; Mammalia; Artiodactyla; Camelidae. The record is from Rfam by way of RNAcentral.
GGGUAUAGCUCAGUGGUAGAGCACGUGCUUAGCAUGCACGAGGUCCUAGGCUCAAUCCCCAGUAUAGCCA